CAAAGCUAAUUCCCUGCCCUUGAGCAGAAACCUGAAGGAAACAAGCAUAAGACAAAAGGAAAUUCCUGCUUUACGUAGUGGAAAACAAACUUUGUUAGCUUAUUUCCAAGUAAUACCUUCUCUUAGAAUAGAGUUCAUAAAUAAUGCUGUGGGUGAGAGAUCACUUAAUUGGUUGUUAACAGAAUCUGGGGAUGUUCUGGGAGCAAGAAUAACUUUGGGCAAACUUCAUGUUACUUAAGAAGGGUGUGGUUAUGCCCUUCCUCAAACUGCCACUUCCUUGACUGAAGCAAAAUAAAGGAUUAUAUGCUUGUGAUGAAGUCCUUGAAUACUCUAUACCAGAUAUUCUGUGGAUCCUAAGAGCCCUGAAGCCUAGCUUUUCGCUUUGAUUUUCUGAAUUGACUGACUGGACCUGUGAACUACAGAUGCACUACAUAACAAACUAGAGGCCGGGCGCAGUGGCUCACGCCUGUAAUCCCAGCACUUUGGGAGGCUGAGGCGGGCGGAUCACGAGAUCAGGAGUUUGAGACUAGCCUGGCCAACAUGGUGAAACCCCAUCUCUACUAAAAAUACAAAAAUUAGCCAGGUGUGGUGGCACGUGCCUGUAAUCCCAGUUACUAGGGAGGCUGAGGCAGGAGAAUCGCUUCUUGAACACAGGAUGCAGAGGUUGCAGUGAGCCGAGAUUGUGCCACUGUACUCCAGCAGCCGGGGUGACAAAGUAAGACUCCAUCUCAAAAAAAAAAACUAAACCAAAACUAGAAGCCCAGUCUGUGGGCUCCAGAGGGAGAGCUUACUUUCCAAAAAAGGUUUUAAUAAUUUAUGUUUUGGGUAUUGAUAUGGAGGAGUUACCUUUUAAUCUCUGGCUUCCAACAGUUGUUCCUAUUUCUACAUUCAUAAUAGUUCAGCUCCCUUAUUUGUUGAGAUUUUUUCUCUGAUUGCCAUACAUAUGAAAUUCAAUGUGCAGUUCCUUCUGCUCACAUUUGUAUUCAUGUAUAAAUUUCAAAAACAUUUCAAAAUGUCUUAUUAUUUAUUUGCAUUUCUUGAUAACUUUUGGUCUGUAUGGAUGACUAAGUUUUUGUUUACUAGGGAGAAGUGGAUACCAAAAAAUGUGGUUCUGCUUUGGUUUCCAGUCUUGCCACGGGCUUGAAACCAAGAUAUCAUUUUGCUGCUUUGGAAAAGACUUAUUAUGAGAGGCUUCCAUAUCGUGCUACCUUGCCCUGGCCAAAGGAGGCUUAUCUGAUGACCAUGUCCUCAUCCUGCCCAUUGGACACUACCAGUCAGUGGUGGAGCUUUCAGCAGAGGUGGUAGAAGAGGUGGAGAAGUAUAAGGCCACACUGAGACGGUUCUUUAAGAGUCGAGGGAAACGGUGUGUUGUAUUUGAGAGAAAUUAUAAGAGCCAUCACCUCCAGCUACAGGUCAUUCCUGUCCCAGUCAGCUGCUGUGCUACUGAUGACAUUAAAGAUGCCUUCAUUACCCAGGCACAGGAGCAGCAGAUAGAGCUGUUGGAAAUCCCAGAGCACUCUGACAUCAAGCAGAUUGCACAGCCAGGAGCAGCAUAUUUUUAUGUUGAACUUGACACAGGAGAAAAGCUUUUCCACAGAAUUAAAAAGAAUUUUCCUUUGCAGUUUGGAAGGGAGGUCCUGGCCAGUGAAGCCAUCCUUAAUGUUCCUGAUAAGUCUGACUGGAGGCAGUGUCAGAUCAGCAAGGAAGACGAGGAGACCCUGGCUCGCUGCUUCCGGAAAGACUUUGAGCCCUAUGACUUUACUCUGGAUGACUAAACAAAGGGAAGAACUUUUUAUGAACUCCAUAGGAAGUAGUAAAGCCUUUUUUUUUUUUUUUUAAUUAAAAGAAUUUUUUUCGAGACAAGGACUUGCUGUGUCACCCAAGCAGGAUUGCAGUGGCACAAUUGUGGCUCACUGUAGCCUCAACCUCCUGGGCUCUAGAGUUCCUCCCACCUCAGCCUCAUGAGUAGCUGGGACCACAGGCGCAUGCUACCAUGCCUGGUAUGGUAUUUUUUAUAGAGAUGGCGGGGGUCUCCCUGUGUUGCCCAGGCUGGUCUGUAAUGCCUAGGCUCAAGGGAUCCUCUGCCUUGGCUUCUUAACCGGCUGGGAUUACAAGCAUGAGCCACCAUUCCUGGCCUAGAAGCCUAUUUUUAAAGAAACUACAAUCUCCCAUGGGGACUGUUUCCCUGCCUCUUUUGUGCAGUCCCAUGGAACUUGCCUGCAGCAAGAGGCCUAAGAUUUAAUCUUUUUGGGGAAAAGUCAUUCUAGGAUGAAAAUCCUAUGUUAAGGCCGGGCGCAGUGGCUCACGCCUGUAAUCCCAGCACUUUGGGAGGCCGAGGCAGGUGGAUCACCUGAGGUCAGGAGUUUGAGACCAGCCUGGCCAACAUGGUGAAACCCCGUCUUUACUAAACCUACAAAAAUUAGCUGGGCGUGGUGCCAGGCGCUUGUAAUCCCAGCUACUCGGGAGGCUGAGGCAGAAGAAUCGCUUGAACCUGGGAGGUGGAGGUUGCAGUGAGCCAAGAUCGCUCCAUUGCAUUCCAGCCUGGGUGACAGUGAAACUCCAUCUCAAAAAUAAAAUAAAAGAAUAAAAGUAUGUCUGUCAUCCAGCUCCAAGUACAGCUUGUGUAUAUCAACAUUUUCAAAAACCUUUAAACUACCAAAUGAAAUCCAGAUGUUUUUC
Molecule: small RNA, 2679 nt
Filed under: Pongo abelii (Sumatran orangutan)
Lineage: Eukaryota; Metazoa; Chordata; Mammalia; Primates; Hominidae
Description: retained intron
Source: RNAcentral